Molecule: ribosomal RNA, 704 nt
Filed under: Halobacillus salinus
Lineage: Bacteria; Bacillati; Bacillota; Bacilli; Caryophanales; Bacillaceae
Description: bacterial SSU rRNA
Rfam family: Bacterial small subunit ribosomal RNA
Source: RNAcentral
AUCAUGCAGUCGAGCGCAGGAAGCGAGCUGAUCCCCUUCGGGGGUGACGCUCGUGGAAUGAGCGGCGGACGGGUGAGUAACACGUGGGCAACCUGCCUGUAAGAUCGGAAUAACUCCGGGAAACCGGAGCUAAUGCCGGGUAACAUGUUCCUUCGCAUGAAGGAACAUUAAAAGAUGGCUUCUCGCUAUCACUUACAGAUGGGCCCGCGGCGCAUUAGCUAGUUGGUGAGGUAACGGCUCACCAAGGCAACGAUGCGUAGCCGACCUGAGAGGGUGAUCGGCCACACUGGGACUGAGACACGGCCCAGACUCCUACGGGAGGCAGCAGUAGGGAAUCUUCCGCAAUGGACGAAAGUCUGACGGAGCAACGCCGCGUGAACGAUGAAGGUCUUCGGAUCGUAAAGUUCUGUUGUUAGGGAAGAACAAGUACCGUGCGAAUAGAACGGUACCUUGACGGUACCUAACGAGGAAGCCCCGGCUAACUACGUGCCAGCAGCCGCGGUAAUACGUAGGGGGCAAGCGUUGUCCGGAAUUAUUGGGCGUAAAGCGCGCGCAGGCGGUUCCUUAAGUCUGAUGUGAAAGGCCACGGCUCAACCGUGGAGGGCCAUUGGAAACUGGGGAACUUGAGGACAGAAGAGGAGAGUGGAAUUCCACGUGUAGCGGUGAAAUGCGUAGAUAUGUGGAGGAACACCAGUGGCGAAGGC